RNAcentral lists this long non-coding RNA (430 nucleotides) under Coturnix japonica (Japanese quail). Its description in RNAcentral is "lncRNA (ENSCJPG00005013569.1)". Lineage: Eukaryota; Metazoa; Chordata; Aves; Galliformes; Phasianidae. The record is from RNAcentral.
GUCUCUAGCAUAUUCUUUCUUCCCAACCUCCACAGGUAAGGACAUAUGCACUGCACAGAUAGCAGGAGACAUUUUCUACUCUAAUGAUGCUCUGCUCUAAUUCUAAGCAAUUCCAGCUGUACAGAGCCUGACAGCACGGGCUGCUGAAGGUACACCAAGCCUCCCCACACUGACCUAGUGCACAACAAAGAGCUCAGCACAGCAGAAACAGCACUUGGCAGGCAAAUAGCAUCUCUCCAUUACAGUACUAUGAACUGAAACACCAGCCACUCAUUUCACAGACCAAAGUUGCUGAUCUUUAAGGUCUGUACUAAAAUUUCUGGUUUCUCCUGUUAUCGUGGGGAUGUGAGAAACAAGCCUUUGAAGGUAAGAAAGUAGAAGAUUCUUUUGAUAUAGCAGUUGAUCUAGUGAGUGGCAGCCUUGUCCACUC